Molecule: small nuclear RNA, 164 nt
Organism: Sorex araneus (European shrew)
Lineage: Eukaryota; Metazoa; Chordata; Mammalia; Eulipotyphla; Soricidae
Product: U1 spliceosomal RNA
Exons: 1
Source: RefSeq, a predicted model, not a curated record
AUACUUACCUGGCAGGGGAGAUAUCAUGAUCAUGAGGGUGGUUUUCCCAGGAUGAGGCUUAUCCAUUGCACUCCAGAUAUGCGGACCCUUGCAAUUUCCCCAAAGGUGGAAAACUCAACUGCAUAAUUUGUGGUAGUGGAGGACUGUCUUCAUGCUCUCCUCUG